This 447-nucleotide ribosomal RNA is filed under the name uncultured bacterium. RNAcentral describes it as "bacterial SSU rRNA". It matches the Rfam family "Bacterial small subunit ribosomal RNA", at positions 330 to 793 of the family's 1533-position model. The record is from RNAcentral.
GCCAGACUCCUACGGGAGGCAGCAGUGGGGGAUAUUGCACAAUGGGGGAAACCCUGAUGCAGCGACGCCGCGUGAGUGAAGAAGUAUUUCGGUAUGUAAAGCUCUAUCAGCAGGGAAGAAAAAAGACGGUACCUGACUAAGAAGCCCCGGCUAACUACGUGCCAGCAGCCGCGGUAAUACGUAGGGGGCAAGCGUUAUCCGGAUUUACUGGGUGUAAAGGGAGCGUAGACGGCAAUACAAGUCGGAAGUGAAAUACCCGGGCUCAACCUGGGAACUGCUUUGGAAACUGUAUGGCUGGAGUGCUGGAGAGGUAAGCGGAAUUCCUAGUGUAGCGGUGAAAUGCGUAGAUAUUAGGAGGAACACCAGUGGCGAAGGCGGCUUACUGGACAGUAACUGACGUUGAGGCUCGAAAGCGUGGGGAGCAAACAGGAUUAGAUACCCGGGUAG